Molecule: ribosomal RNA, 433 nt
Filed under: uncultured bacterium
Lineage: Bacteria
Description: partial 16S ribosomal RNA
Rfam family: Bacterial small subunit ribosomal RNA
Source: RNAcentral
AACGAACGCUGGCGGCAUGCCUAACACAUGCAAGUCGAACGAGACCUUCGGGUCUAGUGGCGCACGGGUGCGUAACGCGUGGGAACCUGCCCUUAGGUUGGGAAUAACUCCCCGAAAGGGGUGCUAAUACCGGAUAAUGUCUUCGGACCAAAGAUUUAUCGCCUUUGGAUGGGCCCGCGUUGGAUUAGCUAGUUGGUAGGGUAAAAGCCUACCAAGGCGACGAUCCAUAGCUGGUCUGAGAGGAUGAUCAGCCACACUGGGACUGAGACACGGCCCAGACCCCUACGGGAGGCAGCAGUGGGGAAUAUUGGACAAUGGGCGAAAGCCUGAUCCAGCAAUGCCGCGUGAGUGAUGAAGGCCUUAGGGUUGUAAAGCUCUUUUACCCGGGAUGAUAAUGACAGUACCGGGAGAAUAAGCUCCGGCUAACUCCGUG